UGAGGAAUAUUGGUCAAUGGGCGGAAGCCUGAACCAGCCAAGUCGCGUGAGGGAAGACGGCCCUACGGGUUGUAAACCUCUUUUGCCGGGGAGCAAUGCCCAGCUCGCGAGCUGGGAAGGAGAGUACCCGGAGAAAAAUGCAUCGGCUAACUCCGUGCCAGCAGCCGCGGUAAUACGGAGGAUGCGAGCGUUAUCCGGAUUUAUUGGGUUUAAAGGGUGCGUAGGCGGUCUGUUAAGUCAGCGGUCAAAUGUCGGCGCUCAACGCCGGCCUGCCGUUGAAACUGGCGGACUUGAGUGGGCCGAGAAGUAUGCGGAAUGCGUGGUGUAGCGGUGAAAUGCAUAGAUAUCACGCAGAACCCCAGAUUGCGAAGGCAGCAUACCGGCGCCCAACUGACGCUGAGGCACGAAAGCGUGGGUAUCGAACAGGAUUAGAUACC
RNAcentral lists this ribosomal RNA (437 nucleotides) under uncultured bacterium. Its description in RNAcentral is "bacterial SSU rRNA". It matches the Rfam family "Bacterial small subunit ribosomal RNA", at positions 355 to 786 of the family's 1533-position model. The record is from RNAcentral.